This 593-nucleotide ribosomal RNA is filed under the name Acinetobacter lwoffii. RNAcentral describes it as "partial 23S ribosomal RNA". It matches the Rfam family "Bacterial large subunit ribosomal RNA", at positions 1 to 641 of the family's 2925-position model. Lineage: Bacteria; Pseudomonadati; Pseudomonadota; Gammaproteobacteria; Moraxellales; Moraxellaceae. The record is from RNAcentral.
AGUCAAGUAAUUAAGUGCAUGUGGUGGAUGCCUUGGCAGUCAGAGGCGAAGAAAGACGUGAUAGCCUGCGAAAAGCUCCGGGGAGGCGGCAAAUAUCCUGUGAUCCGGAGAUGUCUGAAUGGGGAAACCCACUUACCAUAAGGUAGGUAUUGCAACAUGAAUACAUAGUGUUGCAAGGCGAACGAGGGGAAGUGAAACAUCUCAGUACCCUUAGGAAAAGAAAUCAAUUGAGAUUCCCUCAGUAGCGGCGAGCGAAAGGGGAAGAGCCCAUUAAGUCAUAUAAGUUCUAGUGGAACGCUCUGGGAAGUGCGACCGUAGACGGUGAUAGUCCUGUACACGAAAGGGCUUAUAUGAUGAUGUCGAGUAGGGCGAGGCACGUGAAACCUUGUCUGAAUAUGGGGGGACCAUCCUCCAAGGCUAAAUACUCCUGACUGACCGAUAGUGAACCAGUACCGUGAGGGAAAGGCGAAAAGAACCCCUGUGAGGGGAGUGAAAUAGAUCCUGAAACCGCAUGCAUACAAGCAGUGGGAGCCGGCUUAGUCCGGUGACUGCGUACCUUUUGUAUAAUGGGUCAGCGACUUAUAUUCAGUAGC